AAAGGAGUAAAUAACUAAAAUAUUUUUAUAUA
Molecule: ribosomal RNA, 32 nt
Filed under: Potamon rhodium
Lineage: Eukaryota; Metazoa; Arthropoda; Malacostraca; Decapoda; Potamidae
Also listed under: 1 other name
Description: partial 16S ribosomal RNA
Source: RNAcentral